Molecule: long non-coding RNA, 838 nt
Filed under: Apteryx owenii (little spotted kiwi)
Lineage: Eukaryota; Metazoa; Chordata; Aves; Apterygiformes; Apterygidae
Description: lncRNA (ENSAOWG00000008793.1)
Source: RNAcentral
UAUUUAUGUCUGGACAUUUGCAUGUCUGGUUUGUGUUUGGUUUUAUUUUGGUUUUGUUUCUCCUUUCAGAAAUAGCUCCCAAAGCACAGCCCAAUUCAGUAGCUGCCGCUUGUACAAUACAGUGCGGAUAGACUGCGGGUCGUUGGGGUAGGUCGCGUUAUCUCUUCGUCUCCCUGGACUCCUAAUGAGGGUAAUGAUGUUCUUUCUCCUCGGCACCAAUCAGCAGGCGAUAUCCCUGCACAAAGCCUGCCUCGCUGCCCUCGGAGCUGUUCGUCUCUGGAACAGCGAGUUACGAGAGUCUCGAGUCUCCAAGGCGCAGGGAGGGCGCGCUUUGCCGUGCUAUACCUCAGCUCUUAAAGCAAAAUGGACACUGGUAGUAGGCAAAGCAGGAAGGAGGCAGAGCAGGGGCAGUGAUUUUGAGAACAUUUUCUUCAUAUUGCUGCUCUUGAAUAAUUCCAUUCCCGCAUCCUUAAGCGUGGAGCAAGCGAGGCCGCAGUUGUACGCGUGGGAUGAAAGGUCAGUGCGGCCUUUUGAUUUGUGCCCUGCAGUAGCACAGCUACACGUGGGCUGCCAAGCAAACGCCUCUUCCGUCUGCGUGCACUUAGUGGUCACAUCUGUGAACACCACCAGAUCGUCCAAUUACUUGGGGUCCUUUAACCCCCCUCCUGUUGGCAAAAUAGGGCUAUGAAAAAGCAUGCAUAAGCAGAUGGUCAGCAUGCAGGCAGGCUCCCUAAUAAGAUGAACCAGGUCAUAACAUAGAUUUGAAUUCACUUUAUUCUCAUUGCAAAUAAUUUUAUCACAAAAUAAAAAGCUAAGGAUUUUUUUUUUCUUCUGUUGC